This 505-nucleotide ribosomal RNA is filed under the name Phomopsis sp. E7410a. RNAcentral's name for it is "eukaryotic LSU rRNA". The stretch from base 148 to 301 matches the Rfam family "5.8S ribosomal RNA". Lineage: Eukaryota; Fungi; Ascomycota; Sordariomycetes; Diaporthales; Diaporthaceae. The record is from RNAcentral.
CCCUUUGUGAACUUAUACCUUAUUGUUGCCUCGGCGAAGGCCGGCCUCUCUUCUGAGGCCCCCCGGAAACGGGGAGCAGCCCGCCGGUGGCUAACCAAACUCUUGUUUCUUAGUGAAUCUCUGAGUAAAAAAACAUAAAUGAAUCAAAACUUUCAACAACGGAUCUCUUGGUUCUGGCAUCGAUGAAGAACGCAGCGAAAUGCGAUAAGUAAUGUGAAUUGCAGAAUUCAGUGAAUCAUCGAAUCUUUGAACGCACAUUGCGCCCUCUGGUAUUCCGGAGGGCAUGCCUGUUCGAGCGUCAUUUCAACCCUCAAGCCUGGCUUGGUGUUGGGGCACUGCCUGUAAAAGGGCAGGCCCUGAAAUCUAGUGGCGAGCUCGCUAGGACCCCGAGCGUAGUAGUUAUAUCUCGUUCUGGAAGGCCCUGGCGGUGCCCUGCCGUUAAACCCCCAACUUCUGAAAUUUUGACCUCGGAUCAGGUAGGAAUACCCGCUGAACUUAAGCAUAU